GAUGAACGCUGGCGGCGUGCCUAAUACAUGCAAGUAGAACGCUGAAGGAGGAGCUUGCUCUUCUGGAAGAGUUGCGAACGGGUGAGUAACGCGUAGGUAACCUGCCUCUUAGCGGGGGAUAACUAUUGGAAACGAUAGCUAAUACCGCAUAAAUGUCGACAUUGCAUGAUGUUGACUUGAAAGGUGCAAUUGCAUCACUAAGAGAUGGACCUGCGUUGUAUUAGCUAGUUGGUGAGGUAACGGCUCACCAAGGCGACGAUACAUAGCCGACCUGAGAGGGUGAUCGGCCACACUGGGACUGAGACACGGCCCAGACUCCUACGGGAGGCAGCAGUAGGGAAUCUUCGGCAAUGGGGGCAACCCUGACCGAGCAACGCCGCGUGAGUGAAGAAGGUUUUCGGAUCGUAAAGCUCUGUUGUAAGAGAAGAACGAGUGUGAGAGUGGAAAGUUCACGCUGUGACGGUAUCUUACCAGA
Molecule: ribosomal RNA, 475 nt
Filed under: Streptococcus sp. oral taxon 057
Lineage: Bacteria; Bacillati; Bacillota; Bacilli; Lactobacillales; Streptococcaceae
Description: bacterial SSU rRNA
Rfam family: Bacterial small subunit ribosomal RNA
Source: RNAcentral